AUAUUGUAAAUCUUAUUGUUCAAGAUGGUACAAAAGAAGCAUGUGUCUAUUGAACGAGUUAGGCAAGCAGUGAGAUACAUCAGGCAAUCUCCUGCUAGGUCGAAAAAAUUUCAAGAAUGUUGUGAAGAUGAAAAUCUUGCUAAAAAGUCUUUAUGCUUGGAUGUUCCUACAAGGUGGAAUUCCACCUACAUGAUGUUGAGCAGGGUUAUUGAAUAUGAAGGGGCAAUUGUAGAGUACGCCGAUCGUGCAAUUGGCUUGACACUAUAUCUUAAGUUUGUUGAUAAAAACUCUACAGCUACACUUUUGAGUAGUGAUUGUGAGGGUGUAAAGAGAAUUAUAAAAUUUCUUGAAAUGUUUUUUAGUCUUACUUUGAAGAUAUCUGGUUCACGAU
Molecule: unclassified non-coding RNA, 391 nt
Filed under: Hevea brasiliensis (rubber tree)
Lineage: Eukaryota; Viridiplantae; Streptophyta; Magnoliopsida; Malpighiales; Euphorbiaceae
Source: RNAcentral